UUCUUAACUUAACUUAAUUAUCUUGAUUGUUAUCCUGCCCAUAAUUUCCCUCCUUGGGGUAACUAACUUGUCCUGAUUUCCUGAUUAUCAUAACGUGUAAUUAACAUUUUAAUUAAGCAUUACACUUAUAAUAUUCACAUAAAAGUAUCUAGGAAGGUAUAGGAUUGAAAAGUAUAAAAUAGUUCCAAAUUCUAAAUCUGCAAAGCUCUGAACUGGUAUUCUCACUUAGCAAGAGUCAGCUCGCUUAGCGAGAAACGGCCAAAAUGUUCCAACAUCCAAACGAGAGAACACUCUCUUAGCGAGCUUAUCAGUUCACAACUCUGUUUUGCGAUUUUCAUUAGUUUUGCAUAAAAUUAUUAAUACAAUCCUUUUCAUUCCUAACCAUGAGUAUCACAGCGUGUAAUAAAUGAUUAAAAUGGAGAGAAGCUUUGGGAUUAAGCUCAUCUCAUACACCACUUGACCCUAACUUAUGUCAUCAUGCAAUAAUUCAUAAUUGGGGACACUAACAUAAUAUAUCUAGUGUUAUCAUACAUAAUUUAUUUGGGCAACUAAAGUGAUAUGCUAUCUAAAGGUUGAGCUUCUAAGGGAACCCACCUGAAAAUAAGCUUGAAUAAUAGCAUCGACACUUCCAGAGCUCGCCGAAACGCAUAAUUUGCAACUGAAAUGCUAUAAACCCAUAAUCAGAAUUUUCUGCAUAAUACUGCAUCAGAGCACCAACUUCAAAAAUACCUACUGACCUCAUUUCACGUCCAAAAAUUAUGCAACCAGUGCCACAAUGACCGUAUUUGAAUUAGCUAUCCAUAGAAACAAACGGCAUCUCAAACGGUUUUACAGAGAGAGAACAGUCACCUUUUUAGUGCCUGUCUGUCCAGAAUACGGGUUUAACCCAAAUUCUUCCAAUUCUUCUAGUUCCCUUAAUUCUUAACUCAUUCACCAAAUCCAUUAAGUGUGAACAGAAUACAUGCAUAUCCAAAUAUGGAAACAUGAUUUGGGGUUAGGAAUUAGAAUUUCAA
Molecule: long non-coding RNA, 1013 nt
Filed under: Trifolium pratense (red clover)
Lineage: Eukaryota; Viridiplantae; Streptophyta; Magnoliopsida; Fabales; Fabaceae
Description: long non-coding RNA (TPRA_LNC007746)
Source: RNAcentral